UACGAAGGGAGCUAGCGUUGUUCGGCAUCACUGGGCGUAAAGCGCGCGUAGGCGGCAUCGCAAGUCAGAGGUGAAAUCCCGGGGCUUAACCCCGGAACUGCCUUUGAAACUACGAUGCUAGAGGUUGGGAGAGGAGUGCGGAAUUCCUAAUGUAGCGGUGAAAUGCGUAGAUAUUAGGAGGAACACCGGUGGCGAAGGCGGCACUCUGGACCAUCACUGACGCUGAGGUGCGAAAGCGUGGGGAUCAAACAGG
This 253-nucleotide ribosomal RNA is filed under the name uncultured bacterium. RNAcentral describes it as "partial 16S ribosomal RNA". It matches the Rfam family "Bacterial small subunit ribosomal RNA", at positions 524 to 776 of the family's 1533-position model. The record is from RNAcentral.